RNAcentral lists this ribosomal RNA (253 nucleotides) under uncultured prokaryote. RNAcentral's name for it is "partial 16S ribosomal RNA". It matches the Rfam family "Bacterial small subunit ribosomal RNA", at positions 525 to 777 of the family's 1533-position model. The record is from RNAcentral.
ACGUAGGAUGCAAGCGUUGUCCGGAGUUACUGGGCGUAAAGCGUGUGCAGGCGGUCCUUUAAGUCUGAUGUGAAAGCCCACGGCUCAACCGUGGAGGGUCAUUGGAAACUGGGGGACCUGAGUGCAGAAGAGGAAAGUGGAAUUCCACGUGUAGCGGUGAAAUGCGUAGAGAUGUGGAGGAAUACCGGUGGCGAAGGCGGCAUCCUGGACCAUUACUGACGCUGAGGCGCGAAAGCUAGGGGAGCAAACGGGA